Long non-coding RNA from Numida meleagris (helmeted guineafowl), 1695 nucleotides. NCBI's taxonomy places the organism in Eukaryota, Metazoa, Chordata, Aves, Galliformes, Numididae. The record is from Ensembl.
CUUUGAAUAGCAAAUCAUUUGACUGCUGAGGUAGAAUCCUUUGUUCAGAGUCACAAUAAGCAAUUGCAUUUACAAAGAGUAAUGUCUUAUUUUUUCAAGAUUCUCUGGAAGCUGUGCAGCAGCUUGUCUAUAAUAACUGAGCUCACAAUUUUUUCUAAUAUUAGGACAGACUGUCCUUUAGCAAGCAAAGAAAUAAAACAAAAAGCAAAAGGAUACUUUAUCAUUUCUUAUUGCUUUAAAAUCCAAAGGCAAAUUAUGUGUCUUUGUACUUCAGACUUGCAGUUCUACUUGAACUUGAAAAAAUGCCCAAUAAUUUUAGAGAGAAACUGCAAAUAUGAGAAAAGAACUUAACAAGUAGAGAAUGGAAGAUUGGCUCUGUAAAGUGCCCAGGUGGCACUUGGGAUGGGAAGGCAGGAAGGCACUGCAGGGAGGCUGGAUGAAACCGUCUGGAAAGUGAGGGGUCUGGAAAGAACGCAUUCAGCCUAUUAUAUUUUGCAGUUCCUAGUGUGUAGGUUUUUCAAAUUGAGUGAUACCACUGUGCUUUGUGGGCAAUUUCUUCAGUCAUUUCAUCCUCUGAGCUUUGUCGGUCACCAAUGGCUGUGGCAAUGACACGCAGUAAUAUCCAAGCACUGACAGCUGAGCUUUGCUGACACCCCCCUCCUGCUCUGCUGGUGACAGUUCACUGUGCAGCUGAAGCAGCAGAAGGAAGGACAGGCACAAUUCACCUGCAUCAGAAAACAGGUUUGCUUUUGCCAUGAGCAGAGAAGCUCAUGCACAACUGAAGGUGGAACAUGGAGUGCAGAAGAGGUAAUAAAACCUUCACUUCCACUCACUUCAGCCCAAUCUCUUCUUGAGCUCAGAGGUUUUGGCUAGGACUUCCAGGACGUAAGCAUCCCCCUCGGUAUGAGGUGCCAAAGGUAGCUUGCUUGGGUGCCACACUGACAGCAGUGGGUACCAAGGUGUGAACAGAUGGCUGGCACCUCAGACAGCAGUGAUCGUGGGCCUGCUGCUGGUUGUACCUCAGGACAGAGCUUGGCUACCCUAACAUCAGGCCAGCUCCAACGAAAUUCCAUGUCUUUCCCCACCACCCCUUUCCCAUCCCGUAUUCAUGCAUCAAGCCCAGUCCUCACCCCUGCAUGCCUGCAGCUUAGGUGUCCAGAGCAAAAAGCACAGCUGCCGCCUUGGCAGCAUCCCUGCAGACUUUGGGCCUACCCAAGCCAGGACACCCUUGCACCUGAGGGCUUGCUGGGCAAGCAGUGCAAGGCCCCAGCCCCUCCAGGGCUGACAGGACACCCAGCCAGAUGCUGGCUGACUGCCCAGGGACACUGGGAGGAGAGCAGAGCCAGCCCAUGUCCAGCUGCUCACCAUCUCUUGGCCUCAGCAGUGGUACACAAGGUAAGGAAUAAUUCAAGCUUCUUAGAGAAGACAAUCCCACCCACUGAAGUCUGAUAAGACUUUUUACACUACGUACCUGAAGACUAAUCAGUUCACAAGGAACUCUUUUGACUUCAAGUUGUUUAUCACAAUCUCAUGAAGCAUAUUCUAGGCAGCCAAGGAGUCCCAACACAUCUGAGAACUCUGAAAAUUAAAAAAGAUUAAUGUGAAACAGAACUAGAUAACAUGAUCAUCAGAUGCUUGUUCAAAUCCUACAAGCUUCUUUGAAUGCAAUAAAGUCAAUUCACUUUCUGAAGUUCA